Gymnodraco acuticeps is the source of this 427-nucleotide long non-coding RNA. RefSeq lists it as uncharacterized. The record is from RefSeq and is a predicted model, not a curated record. The transcript is spliced from 3 exons. NCBI's taxonomy places the organism in Eukaryota, Metazoa, Chordata, Actinopteri, Perciformes, Bathydraconidae.
GUUAGCUCACAGAUCCAGACCAAAGCAACAGCACCACAACACUGACUCAAUAGCUUUUGUUUCACACUCCAGUACUCUUAAGUGGUUUGCAAACUGCCAAUAAACCAAACCGGUUCAAGAACCAUUCUUGUGCUUUUCUGGUGCUUAACUGGUUCUUCUCUGGUCCGCCCAAUGCUGCUCUUCUGAGAGCAACCGCUCUGACGGCUCUCUCUAGUCUCUACUGGGAAACAGCUAAAAGUCCUUCUGGAGGCUUUGCAUUUGAAUUCCUAUGACUGGUUGCGGACUUGAAGGGAACGCCUUCCUGACAUCCAGGAAAAAGUUUUAUUGGACAGAGGCAGUAGAUAUCUACUGGAAACAGUAGAGAGGGAGGAGAUGAUAUGCAGCAAAAGGCCCAGCCGGAUGGUUGCUGCUCCGUGUGGAACGUGUU